CACGUAGGACGCAAGCGUUAUCCGGAAUUACUGGGCGUAAAGAGCGUGUAGGUGGUUGCGUAAGUCAACCGUGAAAGCUCCCGGCUAAACUGGGAGAGGUCGGAUGAGACUGCGUGGCUAGAGGGUCGUAGAGGAAUGUGGAAUUCCGGGUGUAGUGGUGAAAUGCGUAGAGAUCCGGAGGAACACCAGAGGCGAAGGCGGCAUUCUGGACGACAACUGACACUGAGACGCGACAGCACGGGGAGCGAACGGG
RNAcentral lists this ribosomal RNA (253 nucleotides) under uncultured prokaryote. RNAcentral describes it as "partial 16S ribosomal RNA". It matches the Rfam family "Bacterial small subunit ribosomal RNA", at positions 524 to 776 of the family's 1533-position model. The record is from RNAcentral.